Molecule: long non-coding RNA, 3524 nt
Organism: Equus quagga
Lineage: Eukaryota; Metazoa; Chordata; Mammalia; Perissodactyla; Equidae
Exons: 3
Source: RefSeq, a predicted model, not a curated record
GGGUGGGGGUGGCUGAAGAGCCGUCACCAUCGCGCCGUGCCGGGGCACUGGCUGAGCGAGUCGGAGGCAAGAUCUCAUUCACUGAACGGUUGUUGGGGGUGCAGUACGUGCGGGGAGGUGGAGAGGUGGGGAGGUGGGCAGCGGACUAAACCAAGUUCGCCGUGCCAGCUCUUGCUUCCCGGUCUUCCUUCCCCGCAGCCGCCCCUCCUCUCCGGUCUUUGCGCCCCGGGGACGCGCCAGCCGGGCUUGGGCUCCCCGCGCGCACAGGCGGUCCGGAGGGUGGAGUCGGCCCGCGGUAGCCGCGUCUCCUCGGCGGGCAAAAGGCGGGGCAUGCAGAUUAGAAGCGGCUGUUCAGCGCGAGAACGACGGAGCAACCAGGGAUCCAGAAUUUCCCGUUAAAACUGUAGAGAAUGAAAAAUCUGCACAAGAGCCGACUGCCUAGCGAUUCCCACGGUGCUGUCAAAGGAGCAAAGGAAGGGAGACCCGGACUGAGCGGGCGGCGACUCGCCGUGAGCUGAAGGUUUUGAAGGUCUAAAUACGUGAAUCCGGCGACAUCCUCCAAAUGCCAUGAACUGCUCAUGGACCGUCAGGCCCAGCCCCGUGAAAUACUGCUUCCCGAUUGCAAAUGCAUCACUGAUAGGUUCUAGCUUAUCCCUACUUCUGGUUCUUCUUGCACUUACAUGGUCAAAACACAAUAGUCGAAGAAUUUUUUUAAACCCUUGGUCGCUCAUAAUUUUGUCGAAUUGCAAAUUCUGGACUUUGGGAAAAUUCAUCUAGGAUAUUGCCAUUUGAAGAUGUGCAGCCUGAGAUUUCACUUAUAUAUAAUCCCUGUCACCACCCUCAUUAGAGUCCAGUCCUUUGCUUUCAUCUUCUGAUUCGUCUAAUAGUCUAAUAAUUCAUCUGCUAGAAACACGCUCCUCUGUCAGUUUUCUUUCCUUUGCCAUUAUGGCCGGGGGUGGGGCAGAUUUCCGAAUUCUCGGCUGUGUUCAGAGAAAGCAAAAAUCAGACUACAAAGAGCUGUCUCCCAUCUGCUUGUUUACCUUCCUGAAAGAGGAUUUGAUCGAUACCUUUUCUUAGCGACACAAGAAGAAAACUGAAGGAUCACGCCAUAGGGACGACUCGCUCCACUGUUGCAUCAAUCCUGUAAGGGACUCCUUCAUUCCUCCAUUUCGUUAGUCUUGUAGACUUUUCCGUCAUAGUUGGGGGUUGGUGAAUAGCUACAGAAAAAAAAUAUUCCUAGGAUGAUGAAACAGUAAAUUUUUUCAAGAGAGAGGGAAACUAAGAUCGCUAAGAUCCUGUGAUGCAUCUUAGAUUUUGCGAGAGACAAAAGCAGCCCCGGGAGCUGGCCUGCCACCCACAGCUAGGCCGUGGUGGUCUCCCGGUGAAUGUAAACGAUCUCACAGAACGUCACCGUCACGCUAUGUGACCGUGAUGGAUCAACACAGAAAUAAGACCACUCCGUAGUCACGUCCGAACUCAGACAAAGAAGAAGAAUAUAGUGUCCAAACGAGAAAAUUGACCAAACACCCCCCCCCAUCCUCGAUGCUCUAAUAUGGGUAACUGCUGCUACUUUACCAGUUACAGCUUUGGCUAUGGCCCUAUUCUUCCCUCCUUCUGGGUAAGAUUUGUUCAGCUACCCAGUCACAGAAUUACCCCCAACUUCCUGAGAACAUCUGUAGGGGAGGAAAAAAGUCGUUUCCCUUCUACCCUUCUAUGUUCUCCACGGUUAGGGCUUUGUAACAAAAGACAGAUCAAUGAGAGAAAAAUAAACAGAAGUUUAUUAGCAUGUGUAUCUCAUAUAUACGUGGGAGCAACUCAGGGAUGAGUAACUCAAAGGGGUGGCUAGAACUUGGGUUUAUAUAGCUGAUAAAAGAAAGAGAAAAGAACGAGGCCAGAGUCGACGUGAUGAUUACCAUGACCGCCUCAAGGCUGAACUAUGGGCAGAAAUAGAAACCUACAUUUUAACCUUCACUGUCACCAGAUGGCCGGAGAACAACUCGGUAGUAUUUCCCUGCAGUUAGAACAUUUAGAAAGCCCCGGACACAAGAUAAACUGUAGCUGAAAAGGGUGACCAAUCAGAACUGGACUCAGCCUUAACCUUGCGUACUCUGCUCCUUUUACCUUUAAAACCUGGCCACCCCAAGACCGAGGCAGCACAGGUGUUAGCUCAGGGCUAAUCUUCCUCAGCAAAAAAUAAAAAAUAAAAGAUAAUUGUAUUUCCAACUUGGGGCAUGCCUUCCACAGUCUCCAGUGAUCAAGGCACCUGCGUCACUGAGCAAACCGUGCAAACUUUAAUGAAAAUCCUUUAAACUUCUUGGACUUUUAAACUUCUUGGCUCCUAUCAUCCUCAAUCAUCAGGCAAAGUUAAGAAAGUUAAUGGAAAAACUGGAUUCAAGCAGAAGAAAUCUUAAAUUGCAUGGGGCUAUGUGAAUUGAGGAAGACGUUCUAAUGUUUUGCUUUUCCAGAUUUAAAGAAAUCUUUUCUCUUAAGCUAAAUAUGACUUAUAGCAAUUUGUAAGCAGAAUUGAAGCGUUGAUCUUUUUCUCCCUACCUGAUCCCUCCAGAAUUUGGAAACUCUUGAUAAGUGAGUGUUCUUAUUUUUCAUGGCAAUAUGAUUGUUUGCAUAAGUUCGAAUAGAAUCUGUUCUCCUGAUAGCAGCACACGGCUGGAAACACUGGUUAUAUUACCAAGGCUUUGACUGGAAUGUCAUGUUAAACAAACAAACAAGAAACCCCCAAAACAUGCAUAGACUCGGAUAUGACCAAACAGCUUUAAGGAACAAGGAUUGACUUUAUGGAACAAAUAAAGCCACUUGGAAAUAUUGGCCUGGUACCUUGCUUAUAGGGUUCCCAGCAACCUUACCAGAACAACAGGAGGACUGCUGCUAAGAGAGCAACUUGCUGACAGCCUCCCUCACCUGACUAAGGAUUGCACAGCGGUGUCUGGACGCCACCCUGCCACUGGCAAGCCACAUGAUGCUGACUCAAGCCACCACCUACGUUCAGCCCAUGCUGCACUCUGAUGCCUCCUACACGGGACUGGAUGGGGCCCAAACAGCCGAGGGGGCACUUGGGCAUCAAGGGACCUGAAUACUCCCCAAAUUGAUCAAAGGUGUCGCCCUGGCAAACCUAUGAUUAAGAGGGGGAAAUGACAAAAGAAAGAGAUAAGAACGAGGCCAGAGUCAACGUGACCCCCUCAAGGCUGAACUAUGGGCAGAAAUAAAAGAUUACAUUUUAACCUCCACUGUCACCAGGACGGCCGGAGAACGAUGCGGUCGUUUUUCCCUGCAGUUAGAACACUUAGAAAGCCCCGGGCACAAGACAAACUGUAGCUGGAAAGGGUGGCCGAUCAGAGCGGGACUCAGCCCUAACGUUGCAUACUCUGCACAUUUUUGCCUUUCCAACCUGGCCACCCCGAGACCGGGGGGGUGGGAGGCGGGGGGUGCUCACCUAUCAACUUGCGAGUUGAGGCAUACUUCCCUGGUUUGCAAACGUUUAAUAAAGCUUCUGUUUUCUUUAAAACUUA